RNAcentral lists this transfer RNA (70 nucleotides) under Eumenotes sp. HEM140. RNAcentral describes it as "tRNA-Met". Lineage: Eukaryota; Metazoa; Arthropoda; Insecta; Hemiptera; Dinidoridae. The record is from RNAcentral.
AGAAAGGUAAGCUAAAUAUUAAAGCUAUUAGGUUCAUACCCUAAGCAUAGGAUAGACAUCCUCCUAUCUA